Molecule: ribosomal RNA, 543 nt
Filed under: uncultured bacterium
Lineage: Bacteria
Description: bacterial SSU rRNA
Rfam family: Bacterial small subunit ribosomal RNA
Source: RNAcentral
GAGGGACCUGCGUCCCAUCAGCUAGUUGGUGAGGUAACGGCUCACCAAGGCGACGACGGGUAGGGGACCUGAGAGGGUGGCCCCCCACAAUGGAACUGAAACACGGUCCAUACACCUACGGGUGGCAGCAGUAGGGAAUAUUGCACAAUGGGCGAAAGCCUGAUGCAGCAACGCCGCGUGCACGAUGAAGGCCUUCGGGUCGUAAAGUGCUUUUCUGCGAGAUGAGAAAGGACAGUAUCGUAGGAAUAAGUCUCGGCUAACUACGUGCCAGCAGCCGCGGUAAAACGUAGGAGGCGAGCGUUAUCCGGAUUCACUGGGCGUAAAGCGCGUGCAGGUGGUUCGGUAAGUUGGGCGUGAAAUCUCCCGGCUCAACUGGGAGAGGUCGUUCAAUACUACCGAACUUGAGAGCAGAAGAGGAAGAUGGAAUUCCCGGUGUAGUGGUGAAAUGCGUAGAUAUCGGGAGGAACACCAGUGGCGAAGGCGAUCUUCUGGUCCGUUUCUGACACUCAGACGCGACAGCUAGGGUAGUAAACGGGAUUAGAG